CAGGAGGAUGGGGGUAUUGAUGAAGAUGUGAACCAUCGAAUCAAGGCCGGAUGGAUGAAGUGGCGCCAAGCUUCUGGCAUUCUCUGUGACAAGAGAGUGCCACAAAAGCUAAAAGGCAAGUUCUACAGGACGGCGGUUCGACCCGCAAUGUUGUAUGGCGCUGAGUGUUGGCUGACUAAAAGGCGACAUGUUCAACAGUUAGGUGUGGCGGAGAUGCGUAUGUUGAGAUGCAUGUGUGGCCACACGAGGAAGGAUCGAGUCCGGAAUGAUGAUAUACGAGAUAGAGUUGGGGUAGCACCAAUUGAAGAGAAGCUUGUCCAACAUCGUCUGAGAUGGUUUGGGCAUAUUCAGCGCAGGCCUCCAGAAGCUCCAGUGCAUAGUGGACGGCUAAAGCAU
This 396-nucleotide ribosomal RNA is filed under the name Triticum aestivum (bread wheat). RNAcentral's name for it is "partial small subunit ribosomal RNA". The record is from RNAcentral. Lineage: Eukaryota; Viridiplantae; Streptophyta; Magnoliopsida; Poales; Poaceae.